RNAcentral lists this long non-coding RNA (701 nucleotides) under Homo sapiens (human). Its description in RNAcentral is "PSD2 antisense RNA 1 (PSD2-AS1)". Lineage: Eukaryota; Metazoa; Chordata; Mammalia; Primates; Hominidae. The record is from RNAcentral.
GGGGAAGGCUCAGAAGCUCCAAGGUUUCAUGUAGGGCUCCCCAGGCCAAGCUUUGAGGGAAGAUGGGGAGCUUAGAUAUAGUUUUGUCCAGCUUUCACGAUACAAAUGACCAACUUGAGUCUGGAGAGACAGAGAGGUGGAGCUUGGCCUGGAUCCAGGAGAUGAGUUCGGCCUAGCGCUCUGCAGUGGGCCCACCACCCCUGAUACCUAGACGUGUGGUCACCUUGGCGGUGGGGAGGAGGGGCUUGGUCCUGGCAACCCCUCUCAUCCAAUAGCAAGAGAGGGGCUGAUUCAAUGGUUUGAGGGGGCAGGAGCAGUGACACAGCCUGGAGACCCAGCUCUGUCACUCAACUCUACAUAGCCUUCACCCAGAGCCUGACAGUGUAUAUGAACAAGAGGCUGUGCCUGGUGAGUGCUUCUGCCACUUUCUCCAGGAUGACAGCUGUGGACUCCUGCCACAUCCAACACCCCCUUGCUGCUCCCCACCGCCCUCCUUGGCACCCAGGUGGCUGAUCUCCUAUGGUCUUGCUGGCUUCUCUACCUUGUAUGCUGAGGGCGGGCCCAGCCUGCCCCAGCUCAGGGUCUGCACAUAGUAGGUGCUUGCAUGUUGCCUGCUAAACUGACAGCCCUGUAACCAUGUCAGCACAAAGCAACCAGCAUUUUGGGUGCAUCUGCAGUUAAAAUAAACCACUGAGGUCAUG